AGUCGAGCGGUAACAGGAAUUAGCUUGCUAAUUUGCUGACGAGCGGCGGACGGGUGAGUAACGCGUAGGAAUCUGCCUGGUAGUGGGGGACAACAUGUGGAAACGCAUGCUAAUACCGCAUACGCCCUACGGGGGAAAGGAGGGGAUCUUCGGACCUUUCGCUAUCAGAUGAGCCUGCGUGAGAUUAGCUAGUUGGUGGGGUAAAGGCUCACCAAGGCGACGAUCUCUAGCUGGUCUGGGAGGAUGAUCAGCCACACUGGGACUGAGACACGGCCCAGACUCCUACGGGAGGCAGCAGUGGGGAAUAUUGGACAAUGGGGGCAACCCUGAUCCAGCCAUGCCGCGUGUGUGAAGAAGGCCUUAGGGUUGUAAAGCACUUUCAGGAGUGAGGAGGGGUAUACGGUUAAUACCCGUAUAUUUUGACGUUAACUCCAGAAGAAGCACCGGCUAACUCUGUGCCAGCAGCCGCGGUAAUACAGAGGGUGCGAGCGUUAAUCGGAAUUACUGGGCGUAAAGC
RNAcentral lists this ribosomal RNA (517 nucleotides) under uncultured Marinomonas sp. RNAcentral's name for it is "bacterial SSU rRNA". It matches the Rfam family "Bacterial small subunit ribosomal RNA", at positions 60 to 566 of the family's 1533-position model. The record is from RNAcentral. Lineage: Bacteria; Pseudomonadati; Pseudomonadota; Gammaproteobacteria; Oceanospirillales; Oceanospirillaceae.